AGGCGAGGCGACCGUUCGGAGACUUCGAGGCUUACCUAAUCGUAGGGACUAGGUGCCGUCACGAUGGUUCACGGAGGGCGAAUCGGGUUCGUAACAGAUGGAUUGUGUGCUUAGGAUGCCGGGUACAACGCAAUGCACUCUUUCUAUUUUGUCUGUCUUGUUAUUUUUCCCCUUUUAUGGGGUUUGAUGAUUAUAUUCUUUGGAUGGCUAAUUUUAUACACUGCAAGAAGAUUCUAAGUAAUUACUUUGUAAAUUUUGAGAAUAUUUUGUUCCUUAAUUAGAAAGGACAUCAAAUGAGUUCUAUUGUACGUGUGCAACUACUGCAUCCUUGUACAUCAUGGACAGUUGGAAAUAUGAGUACAAUUACAUGAACUUUAGGUGAUUGUUGUAGAUAUUUACCCACUGAAUCAAAGGGCAUUCUAACGCAAUGAACUGAUCAUCCAGGAUUUGAGCUAAUCGCCAUGGUAAAGCACCCUUUGUGGUUUGUUUACUUCUACAAAUGUAUUUGGAGUUUGUUUAUCAGAAGUUGUUUUAAUAGUACUUUUGAGCAACUUUAACUAUGAAUUGAUUGUUGGACCAAUAUUAACAAAUAUUACUGGGCCGAUAAUGGUGACAACUUCUUAUAAGUUACAACACAUAUCUCUUGUCACUCUAAUCCUGUAACAGACCAACUUCUUUCUAUCCUUGUGCACAACUAUCUUUUAUUUCAGAAAACAAGCUUCGCGAGUAAUCAUCGUCUUACAUUAAGUAAAGUACUACAUUAAACUUUGGCUAGCAGUUCCGCCUUUGUAUUUUUGAAGCCUUAUCUAACGUAUCUAAACAUGUCUUAUCAUUAUAAAAGCUAUUCGAUGAUUAGUCGGAGUAAGUGCUACAGAUCAUAUUAAGAAGUAACAUUGUCAUAUCACACAUGACCUGUUUGGCUCAAAGAAGCAUGGUGAUUCUGUAUCCAUUCAUGUAAUGGAUAUAUUUAUAGUAUUUUACCCUGUGAGUUCUAGUUUAGUACUUUUCAUUUGCACAAAGUAAAAAAUGGAAGUUCUUUUAUUUUUAUUUUUAUUUUUUUUUGUUUUUGCAACUUUUGCUAGUUCUAGGUUUUUGAUGUUGUAUGCCCUGCUCUUCAGUUUUGCUUUAUAUAGUUGAAUUUAAUAACAAGAAAGCAUGUAUGUAAUUACAAGCAACUAAACUUUUAUGAUUUUUAUUUUAUCGGUUAACAAUUUUCUUCGUUUGUACCUUACAUUCAAUUUAAUUAUAAUGUCAAGGUGAUGUAAAUCCAUCGAGGGAUAAAUCCUUUACCAGUGCAAAGGUAUUGAUAGGCUGUUUUUAUAGCAUUGAGGAGAAGCUGCACCAAUUGAAGAACAUUUGCAGCUUUGAAUAUCAGUUGGAUUGAAGCAAAGAAGUGGUAGCCUUGAGAACAAUAAAUAUGGUUGGCUCAAUGACAACUGCUAUAUGGCUCAAGCAGGGAAUCAGGAGACCUUGGAGAGGAGUUGAGGGGAAAAGACUGUUGUUUUGGGAAGAAAAUACUAGUGUUCUUCUCGACCUGCAUGUCAACUGUCGUGGUCAAUAAUUGUAACAGUAAAAAUAGUGAGACAAGGUUGGGCCAAAGCAGUGAAAAACCAAGGUGCAAGAUGGCUCAACGACAAUAGAGGAUUCUCAUUUUCAGCUAAACUACGCGUACAAGAAAACAUGGGUAAUUCCCCUUUUUGUUGGUACAAAAGAAGAGAGCUGUGCGCAUGAAAACAAAAUAUGCAAAUUUUCCUACCAUGGGAGAGCAAAUAAUGCUAAUUGUUCAAUGGAAGUAAGAAGCAAAUGGCACUUGCAAAUUGGCAAAAUGGCACUGUCGUGUGUGAUAUUUUCCUUGGAAUACAACUGACUCCAUUGCACAUAGACAAAGGAUGAGGAAUUGUCCUCAAGGUUACGUGUAUCAAAGGCAACUAAAACACUAGUUGAUUAACCAACUUUUAUAUAUAUAUAUGUUCGGCUAUCUUUACACGUACCUCGACUAAUUUUACGAGUACCUGCCAGUUGGUUAACCACCUUCUUGUGCUUUCUCUUCCUGAUGCUAUCCUUAUUGUGGGAUUGUACUCUUCCACUUCACUUUGUUUUGUGCUGAUUUUGGACAACUUAAUUCCUCUUUAGCUUUCAUGUAGGAGCUACACAACUUCUAAACUAUAUUCAAAUGAAUAAUUAAGACCUCUUAU
Nicotiana tabacum (common tobacco) is the source of this 2195-nucleotide non-coding RNA. NCBI's taxonomy places the organism in Eukaryota, Viridiplantae, Streptophyta, Magnoliopsida, Solanales, Solanaceae. The record is from RefSeq and is a predicted model, not a curated record.